GACGAACGCUGGCGGCGUGCCUAAUACAUGCAAGUAGAACGCUGAAGGAGGAGCUUGCUCUUCUGGAUGAGUUGCGAACGGGUGAGUAACGCGUAGGUAACCUGCCUGGUAGCGGGGGAUAACUAUUGGAAACGAUAGCUAAUACCGCAUAACAGUAGAUGUUGCAUGACAUUUACUUAAAAGGUGCAAUUGCAUCACUACCAGAUGGACCUGCGUUGUAUUAGCUAGUUGGUGGGGUAACGGCUCACCAAGGCGACGAUACAUAGCCGACCUGAGAGGGUGAUCGGCCACACUGGGACUGAGACACGGCCCAGACUCCUACGGGAGGCAGCAGUAGGGAAUCUUCGGCAAUGGACGGAAGUCUGACCGAGCAACGCCGCGUGAGUGAAGAAGGUUUUCGGAUCGUAAAGCUCUGUUGUAAGAGAAGAACGAGGGUGAGAGUGGAAAGUUCACACUGUGACGGUAUCUUACCAGAAAGGGACGGCUAACUACGUG
RNAcentral lists this ribosomal RNA (495 nucleotides) under uncultured bacterium. RNAcentral's name for it is "partial 16S ribosomal RNA". It matches the Rfam family "Bacterial small subunit ribosomal RNA", at positions 28 to 507 of the family's 1533-position model. The record is from RNAcentral.